GCUAGGUUGCACCAAAUCAGGACUAGCUAGCCCUUUCCUCUUCCCUCCCCCCCUGCUUCCUCGCCCCACUGUCACCCAGCUACAUGCCUGUUCCCCAUCUGUCAUAUCUCCUCCCUCUCCGCUACCUGUCCCCACUAAACUCUGCUCAGUGAGCAGUAGACUCCUCUCAAGAUUGUCAAUCUCCCUCAAUGUUGCAAUUUGCUUCUCGAGAUCUCCAAUCUGAGCUUCCAGAGAAGCCACUCGCACACAACCAUCACAGAGGUAUGGACCCUGGACGGGUACAUCCAGGCAGCCAUACAUGCAACAAGAUGUGCAUUGAGUUAAACCAGCAAUCUUGCUAACACUCAUAUCCCCUUUAAACACAAAAAAACAUUUACCUUGAUAGUUUAAACCCCUUGUUAGUUUGAACUCCUGGUUUUCUAACUCCUACUUGAAAGAGUCUACUUAACAGAGGCUGCUUUCAAGUAAUGUGAGC
Molecule: long non-coding RNA, 475 nt
Filed under: Pelobates cultripes (western spadefoot toad)
Lineage: Eukaryota; Metazoa; Chordata; Amphibia; Anura; Pelobatidae
Source: RNAcentral